This 229-nucleotide ribosomal RNA is filed under the name uncultured bacterium. RNAcentral describes it as "partial 16S ribosomal RNA". It matches the Rfam family "Bacterial small subunit ribosomal RNA", at positions 568 to 796 of the family's 1533-position model. The record is from RNAcentral.
CGCGUAGGCGGUUAUAUAAGUCGGAUGUGAAAGCCCUGGGCUCAACCUGGGAACUGCAUUCGAUACUGUAUAACUAGAGUUUGGUAGAGGGAAGUGGAAUUCCACAUGUAGCGGUGAAAUGCGUAGAUAUGUGGAGGAACACCAGUGGCGAAGGCGACUUCCUGGACCAAAACUGACGCUGAGGUGCGAAAGCGUGGGUAGCAAACAGGAUUAGAUACCCUGGUAGUCC